Molecule: long non-coding RNA, 344 nt
Organism: Manis pentadactyla (Chinese pangolin)
Lineage: Eukaryota; Metazoa; Chordata; Mammalia; Pholidota; Manidae
Exons: 4
Source: RefSeq, a predicted model, not a curated record
GAAAACUGUAAUGAAGAGGAGAAGCUGUGAUGCAGGAACAUCUAGUGUAAAACUGAGAGCGGCCGGAUGUGGAUCCCUCUGUUGUCCCACAAGUGGCUGGAACCUCAAGUCUCUCGAAGUCUUCCGCCUCCCUUUGCUUUCCAACCCCACCGAUCCUCCAGUAUGCACCACAUGUACGAACACCAACCAGCCGAGAAAACUGGAACGAAGAGGAGAAGCUGUGAUGCAGGAACAUCUAGUGUAAAACUGAGAGCGGCCGGAUGUGGAUCCCUCUGUUGUCCCACAAGUGGCUGGAACCUCAAGUCUCUCGAAGUCUUCUGCCUCCCUUUGCUUUCCAACCCCAC